This 229-nucleotide unclassified non-coding RNA is filed under the name plant metagenome. Its description in RNAcentral is "partial contains small subunit ribosomal RNA, internal transcribed spacer 1, and 5.8S ribosomal RNA". The record is from RNAcentral.
UCUCCGUAGGUGAACCUGCGGAGGGAUCAUUACAGAGUUCAUGCCCUACCGGGUAGAUCUCCCACCCUAUGUUAUUAUUACUUUGUUGCUUUGGCGGGCCGUUAGGCUCCGGCCCGACUACCGGCCCCGGCUGGUAAGCGCCCGCCAGAGGACCCAAAACCCUGAAUAUUAGUGUCGUCUGAGUACUAUCUGAUAGUUAAAACUUUCAACAACGGAUCUCUUGGUUCUG